Molecule: long non-coding RNA, 1089 nt
Organism: Xenia sp. Carnegie-2017
Lineage: Eukaryota; Metazoa; Cnidaria; Anthozoa; Malacalcyonacea; Xeniidae
Exons: 3
Source: RefSeq, a predicted model, not a curated record
ACCUUUUUGUCUACAUAUAUGUCUACCUUUAUGUCUACCUUUUGUCUGAACAGACAACAUUGAAAAGGCAGUAGCAAUAGACGUGGAAUGAACAUUUAUGGUCAGCAUAAAGCUAUAAGUACGUAGAGUUAUCAAAAUAAACCAAAAAACAUUUUCACAAGGCAAUAAAGAGCUUUACCUUUGCGUGCGUAGUUGGAUGUCAUGACAAUACAUAUAUUUACACAUAAGGUGUCAGAUUACGAAAGGAGGGAACGAUGUAGGUAAGUUUUUGUAUUUUACUGUAUCGUAUCUGUUCAUGAUGAGAAAGGGAAAAUAUGCGUUUGCUUAUAGGCAUUUACGACACAAACUUUCAAGCCUUGGAUAAAUUUAUUAGGUUGAUGGAGAUUUUACCUAAUAGUUAAAGUUCUUCAAGCUUCGUGCAACGCAUAUUACAUGAUAAAAUUAUACGAUAAACUUUAUCCAUUAUUUAGCGACCUUUGUGCAACCGACCCCUGGUAGCAAAGCACAUGCAUCUUGUGCUAUUGAUGAAGACUGGAGCCAGUGGUCGUUCAUCGUGAGCAGUUAAUAGGGAUUUGAAGUAUAACCACAUGGACUGGUUCAAGCCGUACGCGAUCCCGCGCAGCGAACGGGCAUUUCGUACAACAAACGUGUCCGGAUGCGCGUUGAUCAUGUUCUCUCCAGCCCAACCUCCGAGUGCAAACUGUAAGAUACCUUUGUUACGACGUUUUAUCUCGCUCGAGUACCACAUGACCUUGACGAAGUCCGGUGAUAGGAUCGCAUCUUCCUCGAUGAACAAAAUAUCGCGAUCGUAACCGUGCAGUAGGCCAUUGAAGAUUGUUUCUGUGCAUUAAAUAGAGGUAUUUUGAGCUAUGAAGUGAAGACUGGUCCAUCUCACCGUCAACAGUUGGUGGGUAAGUCUUCCUAUACAUGUCAAUGUGGUAUCUGCUCAUGAGGGGAAAGGAAAACUAUUCGUUUGUUUUUUUUCCAUCUAUCAGCAGCGUAUUGCUUCCUGUUUUUCCAAAACUCACGUUACUGAUUUGAUGCAAUUUUUACAAAGUGAAACUAAAUAACAUCAUUGGCUCACAAACA